Molecule: ribosomal RNA, 253 nt
Filed under: uncultured bacterium
Lineage: Bacteria
Description: partial 16S ribosomal RNA
Rfam family: Bacterial small subunit ribosomal RNA
Source: RNAcentral
UACGUAGGGGGCAAGCGUUGUCCGGAAUCAUUGGGCGUAAAGAGCGUGUAGGCGGCCCGAUAAGUCCGCUGUGAAAGUCCAGGGCUCAACCCUGGGAUGCCGGUGGAUACUGUCGGGCUCGAGUCCGGAAGAGGAGUGUGGAAUUCCUGGUGUAGCGGUGAAAUGCGCAGAUAUCAGGAGGAACACCAAUGGCGAAGGCAGCACUCUGGGGCGUGACUGACGCUGAGACGCGAAAGCGUGGGGAGCAAACAGG